This 253-nucleotide ribosomal RNA is filed under the name uncultured bacterium. RNAcentral describes it as "partial 16S ribosomal RNA". It matches the Rfam family "Bacterial small subunit ribosomal RNA", at positions 524 to 776 of the family's 1533-position model. The record is from RNAcentral.
UCCGGAGGGUGCGAACGUUAAUCGGAAUUACUGGGCGUAAAGCGCACGUAGGCGGUCGGAUAAGUCGGAUGUGAAAGCCCUGGGCUUAACCUGGGAACUGCAUUCGAUACUGUCUGGCUAGAGUAUGGGAGAGGGAAGCAGAAUUUCCGGUGUAGCGGUGAAAUGCGUAGAUAUCGGAAGGAAUACCAAUGGCGAAGGCAGCUUCCUGGCACAAUACUGACGCUCAGGUGCGAAAGCGUGGGGAUCAAACAGG